AUGCAGGCUCUAUCCAUGGACACUUCUGGUAAUGGUCAAUGGCAUUUUGACACAGGACUACAAGGAUGGCACGAUCCUGAGCCGUCACGACAGUACAAGUGAUCUUUACCCACUCACCUCCAAUGCUUCCGCCACCGCUUGUUUCGCCUCAUCUCAAGAAUCUCCGUUUUGGCACAAUCGACUUGGACACCCGGGUCAACCCGUCCUGGAG
RNAcentral lists this long non-coding RNA (211 nucleotides) under Helianthus annuus (common sunflower). RNAcentral describes it as "hypothetical non coding rna". Lineage: Eukaryota; Viridiplantae; Streptophyta; Magnoliopsida; Asterales; Asteraceae. The record is from RNAcentral.